CACCUUGUGCCCUGACCUCAUAACUCCUGUGCACUCGAGCUCACAGUUUGUAGUGGUGCUAACUCUCAGCCCGUCCCUUCAGAACUUGGCGCAGCUGAGGUGACACCGCCACCCUCCUUGUUCAUGGAGCUUACUGUCACUUAGCUUCUGCUGUAACAGCCAAUGCCAGUAACUCAAGAACUGAAAGAUAUUUUUAAGGCAAAGAUACUCCUCCAACACUCAAAGGCAGCAAAGAUCACAGACAAGGUAGAAACAGAUCCUUCAGAUGGACCAUGUAUAAAGACAGCAUGUGUCAGUAACUUAUAGAGCAUGUACACCACAGAGUCAAAAAAUGAACAUUUGGAGGAUAAAAAUGUCGAAUCAUCUACAACUCCUCAGAUCCUCAAAGAUAGUAAUGCUAGUGAACAUGAAGAAACUAAGCAAACUGUCUUUCCAAAAACAGAGGAAACAAAACCACAGAUGGAAAAGAAGAGUUCUUGUCCUCCACAAGGAACAUUGAAUAAAAUUAUUACAAAUGAUUUCUAGAUGGUAUAUACCAUUGGUUCACUGCUCAGGAAAGAGUGCUCCUUCUCCACAUUCAUCCCUUGGGAUGGAGUCUGCCAGACCUUUGAAACUUAGAUGAAGGACACUCCAAAUCUGAAAUUCU
Diceros bicornis minor is the source of this 646-nucleotide long non-coding RNA. RefSeq lists it as uncharacterized. The record is from RefSeq and is a predicted model, not a curated record. The transcript is spliced from 6 exons. NCBI's taxonomy places the organism in Eukaryota, Metazoa, Chordata, Mammalia, Perissodactyla, Rhinocerotidae.